GCCUGAAAAAGGAUUACUAUGAUAGGGUAAAUAAUGUAUAAAAAUACCU
This 49-nucleotide transfer RNA is filed under the name Zootermopsis angusticollis (Pacific dampwood termite). RNAcentral describes it as "partial tRNA-Ile". The record is from RNAcentral. Lineage: Eukaryota; Metazoa; Arthropoda; Insecta; Blattodea; Termopsidae.